AGAGUUUGAUCAUGGCUCAGAAUCAACGCUGGCGGCGCGCUUAACACAUGCAAGUCGCACGAGAAAGUGGAGCAAUCCAUGAGUACAGUGGCGUACGGGUGAGUAACACGUGGAUCAUCUACCUCUUGGUGGGGAAUAACCCUGGGAAACCGGGGCUAAUACCGCAUAAGCCUGCAAAGGGAAAGCAGCAAUGCGCCGAGAGAGGAGUCCGCGGCCGAUUAGCUUGUUGGUAGGGUAAUGGCCUACCAAGGCAAUGAUCGGUAGCCGGCCUGAGAGGGCACACGGCCACACUGGCACUGAAACACGGGCCAGACUCCUACGGGAGGCAGCAGUGGGGAAUCUUGCACAAUGGGGGAAACCCUGAUGCAGCGACGCCGCGUGAGCGAUGAAGCCCUUCGGGGUGUAAAGCUCUUUCGGCAGGAACGAUAAUGACGGUACCUGCAGAAGAAGCUGCGGCUAACUACGUGCCAGCAGCCGCGGUAAUACGUAGGCAGCAAGCGUUGUUCGGAAUUACUGGGCGUAAAGAGUGUGUAGGCGGUUCUCUAAGUUCGGUGUGAAAUCUCCCGGCUCAACUGGGAGGGUGCGCCGGAAACUGGGGGGCUAGAGUGCGGGAUGGGAGAGUGGAAUUCCUGGUGUAGCGGUGAAAUGCGUAGAUAUCAGGAGGAACACCUGUGGUGUAGACGGCUCUCUGGACCGCAACUGACGCUGAAACACGAAAGCGUGGGUAGCAAACAGGAUUAGAUACCCUAGUAGUCC
RNAcentral lists this ribosomal RNA (756 nucleotides) under uncultured bacterium. RNAcentral's name for it is "bacterial SSU rRNA". It matches the Rfam family "Bacterial small subunit ribosomal RNA", at positions 8 to 796 of the family's 1533-position model. The record is from RNAcentral.